UACGAAGGGGGCUAGCGUUGCUCGGAAUGACUGGGCGUAAAGGGCGCGUAGGCGGUUCGCGCAGUCAGAUGUGAAAUUCCUGGGCUCAACCUGGGGGCUGCAUUUGAUACGUGUGGGCUUGAGUGGGGAAGAGGGUCGUGGAAUUCCCAGUGUAGAGGUGAAAUUCGUAGAUAUUGGGAAGAACACCGGUGGCGAAGGCGGGUCUCUGGGCAGUAACUGACGCUGAGGAGCGAAAGCGUGGGGAGCGAACAGG
This 253-nucleotide ribosomal RNA is filed under the name uncultured bacterium. RNAcentral's name for it is "partial 16S ribosomal RNA". It matches the Rfam family "Bacterial small subunit ribosomal RNA", at positions 524 to 776 of the family's 1533-position model. The record is from RNAcentral.